CUAACGGUUGCUUUUUUGUUUGCUUGUUUCGUUCAGUGGUUACGUCUGCUGGAGACAAGCAGACACCCUGGGAUAAUACUGUGUUCCUGCUUCAUCGGGGGACGUGAUCAUCCCUCCCCACUUCCAGCUUUCAGGGCACUUUUGGGCACAACUCCCGCUCCUCUCCUGAAACGCCUUCCUAAAGGGCUCUCUAUGGCCACUGCCCCUCUCAGGCACUCGCAGUGCGAAGCGGAAGCGGUUCCAGGCGGGAGAUGCUAUUUUUCGCCACCCAAGAGGCGAGCCCGGCAUCUGGGAGCCGGCCGGGCUGAGCACCGCGGCGGCUGCGGGCGGCACCGCUCCGGCCCCGGCCGCGCAGGGCUGCCCCGUACAUGGACACCGGGUUGGGGCUGGUUCAUGGGCGUCCUGCCAGCUCCCCCCCUUCCUGCAUCACCUCCCCCGCACCCUAAUUCCUUGCAGCCCAAUGCAAAGGGGGCAUCCCCCUCCAGCCCCCCGUCGGCAGGGCAGAAAUGGCCCGUCCCGCUGGCAGGGCGGCUGGGGAAGCGGGGCCCCCGGCUGGGGGGCGACUUGUGUGUGUGUCCCCCGGCCCCCACGUGGGGCACGACCCGGUCCCGGCGGGGCUGAGCGCGGCCCGGUCGCCCCAUGCCGGGAUUUGCGCAGGAGCCUGCCCCGGGGGGGAGGAGGAGAGAAGGGAGGGGGGCUGGAAACUUUCUUUCGCUCAGCGAAAGAGCAGAGGAGCGAGGCGAGCAGGAAGGCCGGGCCAUUGUCCACAGAGGGUGCAUUUUUGUCAGGCUGGCGUUGGUUGCUAUAGUGAGGAGGGAAGGGGAGAGAGAGAGGAGGGAAAGGGAAAGAAAAAAAAACAACCAACCCUAAACCAAACAGAGGAGCACAGUUCGCCUCCCUCCGCUCUCCCGGCUCCAGCCGGCAGCGCUGCCCGUUCCCAACCAAAAUAAGAGCGCCCCGCGGGAUGUCCCGGGCUCCCGGCGGGGCGAGGAGCCCCGGCGGCCCCGGCCCCGCGGAACAGCCGUGCCGGCCGCUCCUCCCCGCACCGCGACAGCCGCCGCGCAUCCUCCGCCGGCUGCCCGCGGGGAGCAGAGGGGUCGGCCCGGCGAGAUCAGGGCGCUUCUGGCUGCAGAGCAGCAAACACGUAGCGCUGCGGGAUGCCCCGAGUCACACAGCCCAACACCACACCUGAUCCAGCGCCUACUCACUUGGUCACGGUGGCUUCGCACCCUGCAGAGCAUCCGUGACACUGAUCCUGACACGAACUGCGUGGGGUUUUGGGGGUUGUUUGGUGGUGGUUUUUUUUUUGGUGCCUAAAUAAUUUAAAGGAGGGGGGGGAAAUACCUUAUUCGGAUGCAGAUGAACAGCUUUUUAAUUUUAAGAGAGACUCUUAUUUUGCAGCAGUGUUUUUUGUUGCCUUGCUAUUGAACUUUGAAAAUAGUGUGGCAGGGGAAGGCAAUAAUGAAGAGUCUCGAAGGCUUAAGAUUUAGUUAAAUGAGUGACUCAAGAUGGCAAGAAGAAAGUUAGUUACUUAGUUAAUUGAGAAUUAUUCACCUUCUGAGAUCGGCACAGCGGUUUGUUCAGAUGACAGUGCGAACUUGGGGCGGGGGGUGGCAGGAGGCAGGCAGGGGAGGAGGCAGAUUUCACUCGGUUUUUCUUUCCAGGACAAGUUAAAUUGCAGUUGAAGGAGAGAGCGCCCCGGACGUGGCGGCGAGGGUGGUCGGGGCAGGAGAGCGCGGAGGGUGCGCGGUUGCGGAGGAAGAUGCGGGACAGCAACGCCCGCCGCCUGGGGCCGCUCUGACAGGGUGUCCGGGAAUCCACGCUGGCCCCGCCGGCCGCCCCGAAGGGUUUCUGCCCGUGGAAGAGAUGGAAAUCGCUGAGAAACCCCCUCUCCUUCACUCCUCCAUCUCCGCGGUCACCCACGCGUAACCCCCGGGGCACGGUCACUCCAGGCAGCCGCCUGCUGCUUGUGCUCGCCCGAAGCGCCCCUCCCUACACACAUACCGGCGGCGGCCGGGCCGCGGAGCGGACACGGGUGUGAGUGGCGGGGGCCGUGCCACCGGCGGGGCCAAACAGCUCGGUUUCAGAGCGUCGAGUUUCAGGGUUUUAACCUCGACUUCUGCGGGGGAAAAAUAAAUUAAAAAGAAAAAAAGGAGAAAAAGAAAAAAGAAAGAGAAGCGGUAGCAUGUGCGGGGAGGUGGAUAUGUGGGAGCGCACCCAUGGGCAGAGGGUGAAGAGGGUUGCCGGACACCGGGGCCACCUCAGGCGGGGACGUCCCCCGUCCUCCCGGGAACAUCUCCGGCCUGCGGGGGGGCAAUGCUGGUGGCCCGCGAACGGUCCUUCUUCGGGUCUACAUCUGUGCCAUGCCUCCACACGAAAAAAAGAUCUUCGUAAGCCAGGGCUAAACCAAAUGUUACUAUUCAGAGGCUGUUUUGCGAGAGGAGAAGCACGACAGAGCUGGGGUGGCCUUUGGUGUCCUCAUGGUUACAAGUGAAAGUCACGGCAAUCCCCUCCACAUCUCGAGAAAGCUGUGAAAAAGAGGAAUCCUAGCAUCAUAACAUAAUGUCUCAUCUAUUAGUGUCUCUUGCUCACUUUCUGGACUGGACUGAUAACCCUUUACAUUUAAUGCUAUGUUAAGUAUAAUAACAGCUUCCAGAAAUGGAGUAGGUGAGGAGGCUGUGGAGGAGAUAAGAGGAAUUUGUCUUGUUCUUGGGCUUCCUCCCUGAGCUCCAGAAGCAUCUCUCCUUCAGGUGUGAAGCCUAACCCAUGCAGCCAGACCAAUGCUAAAAUCAAGUCACUAUUCCCCAGGGAGCUAGUCUUUCUGUUAAGUAACAGGUACUUUUUAUUUUAAGUAACAGCUACCUUUUAUUUUAAAUUUGAUGGCAAUAAAGUGUGGUUGAAAGGAAGCAAGAGCUCUGAGGACAGCGGAAGUUAGCAGCAGGCAAGAAGCCUGUGAACUUGAAUAGCAUCUCCAGCAACAUAUCCACGCUCCAGUAACAACAACCUCCAUUCAAAAACAGUUGAAAAACGUGUAAAGGAAGCAGAUUCAGAAAGAACACAAAAUAGUAAGGUGGCAAGCAGCAAAAAAAUGCAGCAGCCUGUAAAGCUCCCACUGUUCGCUACUUCUUCCAGCUUUACAACAACUGUUUCUAUAGAAGGUUACUUUUCCCUCUGGUCUGUCCCUCCAGCUCCUCACAUGGGCUUUAGUGGCAGAAAUGAAAGGGGCUGAAAAAUGUGUUCAGGAGGGCAGAAGUGGGUUACAUUGGGAAGUUGUGGUCUUCAACUAAGAUGUAACCUGCCCUCACCUGGUUACCCAGUCGUCACACUGGGAGUGUAACAGUCUGUCAAGAUCAUCUAAUAAUCGGUGUACUAGUUUUAUAUUGAAAGCAGGCUACAGUUAAUGUAGCUGUUUAUUCCCUGAAAAUGCAGACAUGGAAGUGGUGGGAUGUCCCUUUCUCUUUGCUGUGAUGAGUGAUAGCUCAAAGUUUGUUUUUAAAGAUUUGCAAUCCAGCAGAUUUUUUCACCUUUUUUUUUCUCCUUUCUUUUCCCUUUCCACCUCGCCCAUUCAGUGGUUUGAAACAAGCUAAAUCAAUCUCCUGUUUUGAGAGCAGGACAGGCAGACACCUUGGUGUGAGCAGUACUACAGGUGAAAUGAUGGUUGCACUUCUGCAGCUGUACUUGACUGUCUGGGGGUGCCAACACCAGUGAGAACAGCAGAGAUUUCUCUGCUGCUCCCACACAUAGCCUGUGAAAGGCAAUCAGUCUUUUAGGGAACAGCUCAAAUAAUUCAUGUACCAUAAUAAUUGUAUAUUCCCACUAAAGUGACACGGAACAGUCGAUUCUUCAAGAAGAAAGAUUUGCCCAUCACCCCAGACCAUUGCUACAUAUCUUUAAACAUCCCUAAAACCCCGUGAUGUUAUGUAAGUAUGGACAAACCAGUGAUGGUUUCCUGAACCUAGAGCAUCCCGACUGAAAUUGAAGGCUCUCUGCAUGUGAGCUGGGUGGCAGAAAUGAGCCUGGGUCCCUCUCCUUUGCCUACUAGACCCUUCACAUCUUGUGUACUGGGUUGUACAAUCCACCCCCUCCACACCCUGUUGUCUGCUAAGCUAACAUAUGGUUGGUGUUUCCUCAGUAGGGAGCCCCUAGAUGAGAUUGCACCUGUGAUAUAGUCAACAGUAACAUGACUAAAGAGAGUUAACCUACUUAUGCACACUGAGAGAGGUGAGUUUACCCACUUUUAUUUACUGCUACACCACUGGGCUGAGCUUCAGCAUAAAUUGUUUCAAGGUGCCUUGUUUCAGCAGUUGUACAGAGAACUGGCUUCUUAGUUAUUCUGUAACUCAAAGGUGUGCAAAAUCACUGCCUAACUGGGAAUAAAAUUAUCAUAAGCACAAUUAUGCCUGUGCUGAAAGGACAAGGUCAGAAGAGAGAAUCCAAAAUGUCAACAAGACUAGUUCAUGAUGGAUUGUCCCAGACAAAGCUGUCUGAUGUUAUACAUCACAAAAAGUUAAAAGAUGAUGUAAUUUAUAUGUUAGACUCAUUGUCAAUUCACACCAGAACCUGAGGAACAGCAAAAUCAGUUGUAGUACUUUUGGCCAUAUGGCACGUUUUGGGAUGUGUGGUGAGGGUGGUUGGCAAUACACAAUUUUUUUCUUCGGUGUGUCAGUAAAGCAUUCUCUGAGCUGACAGUAGCUUUUGCAUUUGGCACCGAUAAUCCUGGGAGACCCUGUGUCAGUCUGCUUUCCCUGCCAUGGCUCCCUGUCAACUCACUCUCCUUUUGAAAGAGAAGAUCUUUAUGCAGCCAAAAGAGUCUCUGAGUUAGUCCUUCACUCCAGAGUUUUGGCAUUGUUGGUUUAAAUCUCUUGGGCUGGUGCAUUACACUUUGGCUGGACUACUCAAGGACAAUUCAGUGGCUUUAGUGUCUUCUACCAGCCCUCAAAUGUUUCUUAUUGGGCUUCUUGUACUUCUCCCCCAUCAUUUCCUUUCUUCCUUUUUCUUAUAGCCAUCUUUUACACUAAACCAAUGUAUUUAUCCAGUAAACAUCCAGAAAAAUCUGCUCAAUAUUCAGUGUUCUUACAUUAUUUUGGAAGUGGUCCAUAUUCAUGACUGCUGAAAAAAUUUUAAAAUCUGCAUGCUUUAGUUUUAUGGGUAAGAGAUGAAGACCUCACUCCUUAAUUUGCCUCCUAUCUGAACCCACUCUGGUCAUUACAGGUGGGAAUGGGAGGGCUGCCUCUUGUUAUAGAUGCCUGAUACUUUAAUUUAAAAAAUUGUGGUUAUAGUGUUGUAUCAACAAGGUUAAAUUUUUCUGUUGUCACCCAGUGUUUCAGUAAUGAGAGCAAAGAUCAUGGCACUGUGGUUCCAGACCACAGAGAAAAGCCAUUAUGCCAUUGUGGUCUACUUAAAAACAGUUUGUAAAAAACCCCAACCAAACAGGUUGUAUGUAUGCAGUAAAGCAGCAGCAGCAUCUUUGAAGGUUCUCUCCUCCCUAGAAAACCUUAAUUUGCCCAGCCCAUGCAUGAAUGCACCAUCCACAAGCAGUAACUGAGUGCAACGCUGCUGGAGAUGCACCCAGCCUGCAUCUUCCCCUCCUGGCCGCCCUGCGCUGCUUCCUGAGAGACUCAGUUACUGUCAGUCACUGGGGCCAGGCAGCAAAGCUUCCUGGCAUGGAAAUGGAGGGGAAGGAAUGGGGUGAAAAGGGAACGAGAAGAGAAAAUGGAGACACAAACUCAGGUGCACCUCUGUAAGCUGGAAAGGGGGAGAGAAACUAUGACUUGGAUUUCAGAUUAGGAGUGAGAGCUGAAAAUGAGAAAUAUGGGGUAGGAAUGAUUUGGCAAAGAAACUAGAGCUGUGUGAAGAAGGAACCUGAGUCUGAGGACUGGGAGGAGGAUCCUGCUGUCUGAAAGACAAAAGAAAAGCUUACUGAGGGCACUCUGAGUAGGCAAGAAGCUGUGUGGAGAGCUGGAGUGCCUAGGACUGGGUGGGUAAAAGAGUCUUGGACUUCUUGAGCCAUGCAGAUAGGACUGGGUCGUGGUAUGAAAGCAGGCACAGGCAGAACUUUUGUCUAUGGUGGAGCAAAGAGAAAAGUCCAGGAAGCAGGGAAUGGAUUGAGAGGGACUGGCUUCAGAUGGAAGAAGUACCAUGGAAGAGCUAGCUCUUCCAGGCAUAGCUCAGGUCUCUCAGCACGAUGUUCUAUGUCCUGCAGACAUGCUGAGAGUGGAAAUCGGGGCCAUUUGGAAAUGACACAACUUCAGAUUGUAAGUGCAUUGUCUGUGCAAUGAAUGGAAAUGGAAUGGUCUCUCUUUUCUGGAAAGGUAACUUUCCUGAACCUCGCAUUGGACCGUAUUUAUUGUCUUAGGUUAGGCUGCAAAAGACAAGACCAUAGAUAGGGCUUUUUGAUUUAAGUGUAACUUGCUAUUAUGUCCAUAAAGAAAAAGGCACUUGCUACACAUAUAUAUAGAUAUAUAUAUAUUUCUUUAUUCAGACAUGCAAAGAUGGUAACUGCAUACCAGAUGUUAGAUGUGGUGUGGCAAAACAUGGUAGUUAAAUUGCUUAGGAUAGCCACAGACCCUUUCCCCCUCCCUUGUGUUUGCUGAAGGUACAGAAAAGAGCCCAGAAAUGCAGUUUAGGCCAGAUACUCAGAAGAGGCGUGAAGCUCAGUGUUGCAAUGCCUAAUUUUUAGAUACUCUGCUUUCCAAGGGAAUCCUCAGCCUGGAACUGGACUCCAGGUUAUUGUAAUUGCAAUCCUGAUAAAUGGGCAGCUAGGAAGAGGCACGUAGGCUGACCUCACCCUGCUGACAGAAAAUGGUAAGCAGAGGAAGUUGCACUUCUCUUAUCAAGAGUUGUUUUCUUCUCUUCCCUGGGUAGUUUUGGAGAGAAGGAGGCAGGCAGAAAGGGUGACGAUUGUGUCACCUAACUUCAGAUGUCUGCAACGCAGAGGCCGUUUGCAGUCAUUGGGAGGCACAGUUUGUCUGCUGUGUUCAAGUGUCUGCUCUGGGAUGUAAUGCAGUGCCUGGGGUAAGUAACUCAGAUAUAGCUGACUACACUGUGGAUGCUGAAGUUAAGCAAAAUUAAUGUGACACCCUAUUUAAAAAGCUAGGCAUUUCCAGUGAUAAAUAACAAGCUUUGAGGAUGUAAAUUCUGAAUAUGGUCAUCUCCAGGGACAUUUCAGUGCUCAGCCAUGUGUAUCUAAAAAGUUGUGGUGGUGUAGUUUUCCUUCGUAUCUGGUUCUGUUGACAUAAAAGAUCAGAGCUCUUAUUUGUGUUUUCAGUGUGUUUCUGCAUUUGCAUUGUGGUUGGUAAGCAGCGCUAGGCUGCUCUUUCAAAAACCUUGAUGGAGAAAGUGAGUUCAGUUAUUUUUGAAUAAUAUUUUUGAAUUCAAGCACCAGAACAGUGUAGCAGUUUUCUAUGGGUUCAUCUUUGGUGAGGCAGGAGGAAACUGCCUCUCUUGUUAUUAACUUAUUCGAAUGGGAUGUUGCAAAAUGUCUACUGAAAGACAAUGUUCACAUGAUUGGGAUAGUUAAAGUGGAUUUUGAUGAGACAUAAAUGAAGGAAUAUGUAUGCAUAUACAUAGGAAUACGUCUUUCCCACACCUGAGAUAUUUUACACUAUUAGUUAUGGGUGAGAUGUAUUUUCUGCUUGACAUUGUUGUCACUUCAGAAGAUUUUUGGGCAAUGGGUAUGCGAGGCAUAAGGAUAAAAAAAAAAGCGCCUUUUACAGCUAAAUUAAGUGUUGGCAUCUCUCACAAGAUUUUAUCACAAUUUUUUUUUUUGCUCCUUAAAUCUCCUAUUCCUGGAUUUAUGUAAUUAAAUGACAAUCUCAGCUCUUGUGAAAAGUAAAAAAUAUGGUUUCUAUACAUCAUGAUUCUAGAGGGAUGCUUUAAAAAAUGAUUUGAAGGUACCCUGAGUGUGCAGCAACCAACAGAGAAAUAAAAUGAAACCCACAUUUAUUAUUAGGAAAAAUCCUGAAACUUUUAACCGUACUUGUCAUGUUUAAAGUUGACUUAUGGUUUAGAUUAGACAUUAAGAACAGCUUUCUAACUUUCAGUUGGAAAGCACAAGAAUAGAUUGCCUACAGUGGCAGUGGGAGGAUUUUGAAAAUAGAUUGGACAAAUGUCUGUGGGGAAUGGUUCAGCUACAGUCAACCCAACCCAGUGCAAAAGGAUGCACAAGUGACCUCUAAUUCUUCUUAGCUGCAUCAGGUUAAGCUCUCCAAAAGCUGGCAGUGGUCCCCCUCUGCCCUCACCAGCGGCCAGGUUAUACUGAGGAUCUGCAGUCGGCAGGGGCAGACGGACAGGCUGCCAUCCUUCCUGGGAUACAUGCAGCUGUUGGGAGCGCCAGAACUGACGGUAGGGCUGUCAUGGCUGGGAUUCACCCCCUGCUCCGCCUGACCUUUCUGCUUGACUUCUCUAAGCAUAUUUUUGGUUAUAAGCAGUUCCUCUGGGCAGCCAGGAGCGAGGUAGGGAGUCACCUUCUCUGCAAAUGUUAUACAUGAAUAAACACCUUCCUAGGCUUACUUAACCUGAGUCUGCUGUGUGCCUGUUUCCCUGCUGACACACCAUUAGCAUCUGAAGCAUCUAUAUUUCCUGAAUCGCAACAGAGAUAACUUAUCAUUCCAGCUGCUUAUCUCAGACCUGCCCUGUGGAUCCAGUGGAAAGAUUUCCCCUUUAGCACAUAACAACAGGUGCCUGAUACUCACUUUGAAAUGUUCCUCUUUUUAAAAAAAGAAGAUUUGGGAUUCUUGCCCUGUACAUUUUGCAUCUCUCUUUCCAUCUCUAUGCCCAUAUAGCUCAGUUUAUUAUUAUCGGACUGCUGGCCCAUAUCUUGCUGCCAGUGAUAUCAAUCCCAUACCAUAUAUGCCUUGGGAAUUUUUGGAUACAAUAGGAGCCUUGCAGUUGCCAAAGUCAGUGUGCCAUUUAAAAAGUGGGCUGGGGAGGGGUUAGGCACAUAUUCAGGAAACUCUUCUGUAAGCUUCAGGAAUAUCAAACAUCCAUCUAAUUGUCUUUUCUUUCUUAACAACUCCUCUGGAUAUCAAGUUGGCAUAUGUUAUGCAUAGGUUGACUUUCUGGGAAAAUAGCUAGCAGAGGAAAAAGUGCCCUUAGCAGCUGGUGUGAUGGUGCUGGAGAGCAGGAGGGUGGGACUGGAGAGGAGCAUACCCAGGAGACAUCCCUUCGCGAUCCCUUUUCGAGCGAGCAUCACUCCACUCCCCCAGGAAGCCGGAAGCAGCUCAUCUGGUGAGAUCCUCAGUGCCCUUUCUUGCAAACACAGAAUCAUGGGAUCAUUUUGGUUAGAAGAAACCCUCAAGGUCAUUGAUCAUCGUGGCAGACAGGAGUGUGCUUCUUGUCCCAACUGUAGCCUGGAGCCACCAGUGAGCCACUGGUAUGCUCAGGGCUGCACAUAGGUGUGUUUGCUGCUGUAUGCAUCUCCACAGAACCUGGCCCCAAAAAGAUGUGACCCCUCUCAUGUAAGCUGCUGUCUCAGCCUUGACACCCUUGUUUACGUGCUCUCCUACAGAGUUCACGGGGAAUUGUUAGGGGAGCUGCCUGUUUACAAAUGUUACAACUUUUUAAUCGUAGCUUUAGGUAAGAAAAUAGACAUGCUGUAAGGUAGGAAAAAGAUCAGGUCAAGAAGCUGAACUCUAUUCUUGCUCUUCUGAGUACUGCUACACCUGAAUCAUGUGCUUUUUCAUGCCAUGGAAUCUUAUCCAAAGUGGUGGAACUGAGCGCAUGACUAACCAUGGAGUCGAGAUUCAUUGGCUGGAAUUUUAUUGUCAGAGAUACAAGGAGUGUGAUAGACACACUGGUGCUGUCACCUAUAGAUGCAUUCCUUUGCGCUUUUCAUCAUAAGAUGCUGCUUCCUCUUGCUUAUAUAGUUUUGCCAUCUGUCUUGAUUUGAGUGUUUCAAUGCUUGAUGUUUUCAUCCAGAUCAAGAUCCAGGAGACAAGUGAAAAUAUAAGCAGCCCAUCUUUCAUUUCAAACAAAAAGCUUCUCAAGUUUGCAAAGUUGCAAAGUUUGUAAGGGAAGUAUUGCAAAUGCAAUGAGAAACCUAAACCACCUCAACUACAGGUGCCUGUUUUUACUGCUAUUUGAAAAAAAAUACAGUUUUACAGCUAAUCUGUGAAGUUUUUUGUGCAUGGCCUGAUUUGUAGUUUCUUAAUGCUCGGGACUGGCAGUAUUGUUUACAGUUUUGCCAAACUUUUAACAAUGAAAGAGCUUUUUUCAUGCUAGUCUCUGACUCAAAGCAAACUAUCCUGGAAACAGUCAGUUUCGUGGUUCAUUCAUUUCAGUGAAUGAAAUGAGGGGAAAUGAUAUAUUUGAAUACCCUAAAAAAUUGCUAUAAUUAUUUCAUUAGGCAGAUCUAGCACAGCAUGCUUUGGUACAGAAAUUUAAAAUCAUGUAGGGCAAGGAAGUGCCUUUAACCAAACUCUAACAUUUCUGAAAAGGUCAGUUUACAGAUGCUUUUUUAGCGUUGUCCAGGCACAGUCCUUGCAGGUUCCAUAUGCAUUUAGUGUGCUUCAACUUCUUCCCAGACUCAGUCAGGACCAGAUCAUGGAUGGAGAAGGAGAUCACAGGUGAGUGAGUUGAAGGAAGAUUUCCCUGCAAUCCCUCUUCAUGGUUACUUCAUCUUUCUGUAAUUUCUGUGUAGGGGAACUGCCAGUAAAGGUCGAUCUCUUGUGAUCUCAUGUGUUUCAUCUUACUAGCAGAUGUGUGGAAAGAUGGAGCGAGGAAGGGUGUUCAGACAAGCGAAAUGAGGAGAAAGGUGAAAGCAGAGCAGAAAUGGUGUGAGAUCAAAAGGAUGAGGGAAGCACCAGGGCCCAAAGUAGGACAGAAUAUGAGGUUGAAAGAGAGAGAGGCCAAAGGGCUUGUAGCUCCAUAAGGGACCCAGGGCAGGAUCCAAGAGUGCCACCUCUCAGCAUUCCUGUUCUUGGCUUGCAAAUCACAGUGGAUGCACUAGCCUUGCACAGGCUCUCAUUCAUCUCUGCUGAGCACCACAUUAAAGACAUCAGCCUGUUAUUGCCAUUAUUUCAAGCAAGGAAUAGUGCCUCAGAGCUAGUUGUGAGUGGAGGACUGAAUUCUUCUACCCAGUGAUACAUUUAUUUUAAAACAAAUAAAGUUUUCCUCCUCCUGAAUUCCAUCUGUCUGAGGGGUAUGAAGGUUGAAUAAUUGAGCCUUCAAAAGUUACAGCACACCAGAAUUGUUUCUCCCCUUGUGUAUAUAAAUUAAAAUGUGCUUGUGUGAUCACAUGUCUGGCUCCAGUUGAGCAAGACUGGACAUCCAAAGUUCAGUGAUCCCUUAUGAAAAGUUUGAUUGAAUGAUCAAAUGCUCUUUAAAAAGGUUUUAAUUGCAUAUGGCAAUGAUAGAUAAUAACCACGCAUUGUGUGUGCAUUAUGUUAAUCCCAAAGCCUCCCUCAUAAUGUGGGUGGAACUCUUUACUCAUCAUUGAAAAUUAGCCCUCACCAGAAUAGGAAAUCUGACCUGUUAUUUGCUGGAGCACAAACUCCUUACACUCAGUCUUCUGGUUGGAAGUGAAAGAAACCAUCACCUUUUUAUUUCGUUGAGGAGAAUAGAGAACAGCAUUGUGCAAUUCAAUGUUGAGUUAUCCUCACCAGGUGCCCCAAAACUUCUCAGUGUAGAUGAGCCACAGACAUCAGUUAAUGUUAUAUUGUUCCCUGUCAUGAUGGCUGGUGCUCAGCCUGACCUUCAUGGCUCUCUGAGACAUGAGGUUGCUCGAAGAGCAUGCAGAAGUUUCCAAUUGCCCAACUUGUCUGUGCUAACAGGUACAGAGCAGCUGCAGCAACUUUGUAGCCAGGGCCCCAGUUUGAUGGCUUUUUUUCCUCCUCCUCCUCAAUUGCUUUGCAAUCAAGCUCCAGAAUGAUAAUUUGAGGUGGGUACAGUGAGCAUAACUUUUGGGAACAGAGGUUUAUUAUUUUUUUUGCCUUACAUGCUUCAUAAUUUUCAGCGAGGGCACAGCAAAGGCAGAAGUCUUGGUUGCACACAGAAUAUUCAACAGACUGUUCUGGAUCUACUAAUUCUUAAGUAGAGAAGAGCCAUCGUUGCACUGAGGAAAAUUAGGUUUGCCAGUUCAUUCACAUUUAAAAAAUAAUCUUAUGAAUCUGCAUUCUCUCCAUCCUAUCUGUAUAGGUCCUCUAUCUCCAUUUUUGCACAGCAUAAGUCCCAGGUUACCUGGGCUCCUGCAGUACAUGCAGAACACACAGCAAUCUGCUCAAUUUUAAUGAAGGGCAUUUCCAAAAUUAAUUACCUAGAAACAAAUAUUAAAUGACUGUUCUGUAUAACACAGGAAGAAGAAUUAUUGAGGAGGAAUGAAGGCUGUUAUGAAUGUCGCCAUUGUGCUCUGGUGUGCAGCCCCCACAUCCUCCCCUGUCCCCCCAGCCCCAAUGGAAAUGUAAUCGCAGCAAAUGCUACUCUCCUCUCAAGGUUUAGAUAUACACCUAAUUUCCAGCAGGUGGGCAAUACCAGUGAUCAGAUGUGCCCUGAAUGAAGCACACUUGUAAGUUUUAUUUUAUUUUAUUUUAUUUUAUUUUAUUUUAUUUUAUUUUAUUUUAUUUUAUUUUAUUUUAUUUUAUUUUAUUUUAUUUUAUUUUAAUGUAUUUUAUUUCAUUUUAUUUAUUUAUUUUCUGAAUUGAGACCUCCAGUUGUGUUGUACUGAGGCUGACAGUGCCUUUGAUCAGCUCUGGAUGUGGCUGCAGGACCCAGACCUCCCCAGCUCUCUGGCCUCGCACUCCCUUGCAGAACUGCUGCCUGAGUCCAAUUGCUCUUGCGUUUGAAGAGCUCGUGUUCCUCUCCUGUAAUUCCUCAGCAUGCUGUUUAGGAUUUGAAGAUAUAAAAAGCUAAAUAGUAAGUCAGUGUUAAAUAUAAUAUUUUAACUGUUUCCAGUGUUUUCUUUCUUUUAGUAAAAAGAAACUCCUGAAAAAUAAAACCCAGUUCACUUUAAAAUGCUUAUGCAAGCAAAACAAUCCUUUUGUCUUUUACCUUGGUGUUUUAUAUACCAUUUAAGGUGGUGAUUAUACGCGUGAAUCUAGAAAAAAAAAUAAAGAAGGAAAUAAAUAAUUGACAAGAAAAGAAAAAUUGAAAGCUGUAUGCUGACAGGUAUGGAUUGGCUUAGACAAAAAGAAUUAUAUUCCCAAAUCUAAUAUCAAGAUGGGUUAUAUCUAGCCCUUGCCAAAAUUAAAAAAAGGAAAUCUGAUCAGCAUGGUAGACAACAGAGUUUGACCAGAAGACUUAUGGAAUAAAGUGCCAUUUGCAUCCUUUUUCUUCUCUGAUGUCUCAAAGCAGUAAUAAAUAGUACAAUAGAAAAGAAGUGGUGGUGAAAUGCCUCAUUUUUAAACUUUUUACAUAAAACUCUUUUCAAAAGGAAUAGAAUAAGAAACUGAAGGUAAACAAUUCUGUUUAAUAUAUAAAAAGCAUAUAUAAUGAGCUUUAAGAUGUAUGUUUUUAUGUAUAUGUGUUUAUACUUCUUUGAUGACAGUAAAAUACAUGAGAAUGAAAAAGAGACCUUCAUUUUCCCCUACACAUUUUGUAUACAUCUUUUUUUCUAAGGUAUUCUGGUGUCAGAAAUCACUUGCAAUAUACAUGGUACAGGGGUUUACUGCGAUACACAGUUUUAACAAAUAGAGUGAACAAGAGACUGUAUGUACAGUAAAGGGAACCAAAGUAUUAUAUUGUGCAGUGAAAGGAAAAGAUGGUCCAUCUCUUUUUUUUGCUUCAGUGUUUACUUUCCACAGCAAAAUGUCUGUCACCUUUCUACCUGCUGCACAGACUGGUGGGGUUUCUCUGUCCCAGCACCCUGCUUGGCCACUGAGGACAGCAUUUCAGAAGGGUUUGGCCAACCUCUUGUGACACACGUUCUAAAAUAAUUUGGCUUUUAUGUAUAUACCACAUCCAGGGGAUGGAUUUUCAGAAGAGCUUAGCUGGUGGCUGCUGGGCUGCUUGGAAACAUAGAUGUUUCCUUUGGGUACCUAUGGAGGAUGAGACAGUGGCAGGUCUACAGACAGCUGAAGUCCAUGAAGUCAUCUCCAUUCCUGGAGGACACUUCCAAAGCAGCAGUCCCAACCAGGAUGGUAGGCACACAUGGAUGGGGCUGCAGAUCCUGUUGGCUAAGCCUCCUUUGAGCACUACUCAGGAAUGCCAGGGCUUCUCAGGGAGAAGCAGGACACUAAAAAUACAUGUAGGGUGGAAGACCCACCCUCAGUGAAAGCCAUAGCAUUUUUGCUUCUAAUUUGAAGGAAGGAGAGACUUCUGCUGACCAAAGAAUCGGCACUCAUUACUGAAAACUUUCAAUAAAUCUUUGAAGGAAGCCUAGCAUGUCCACAGCUACAAGCUAGUACAUCCAACUACAUACCAUACGUUCAUAUGUAAAAUGAUGAAAAAAGUGUAUUCUUAAGAGCACUUGCAGGCUGUACAAUGCUGUGCUGAAGCUUUUAUUACAUUGAUUCAACUACUUUCUGCAAGUUAUGUAAAGUAAUCUUUCUGAAUCUCACAAAUUUGCAUCCUGGGAGUGAUUGAUACUCUAUGUGUGAUGAAGAUGACUUUCAUUCCCUACCACACAGGUGUGUGAUGAAUACUGGUUUGAGGUGUGCUAUUAUUUAUUGCCAAGGUUAUUUCAUAAAUUCAGUUUCCCAAUUCUAAUUCAGAUCUACAUGCUUUCUCUGAAGAGGACUCUUAUUAAGUCGUCAUUUCUUGAGAAAACUAAACCAAACUAAAAGGCACCAGUAAUAGAUUGGUUUUAUUCCACUCCAUAAAUGUGUGAAGUACUGUUUUAUUAUACAUUAAAAGUGUGAUUAUGUGUGAUGGCGUCUUUGGAUCAUGUCAGUGGUUGAGUGCUAGUUUUCAUUGCUAGCUUUAAUCUGG
Long non-coding RNA from Columba livia (rock pigeon), 14862 nucleotides. RefSeq lists it as uncharacterized. Lineage: Eukaryota; Metazoa; Chordata; Aves; Columbiformes; Columbidae. The record is from RefSeq and is a predicted model, not a curated record. The transcript has 3 exons.